This is a non-coding RNA of Earliella scabrosa, 95 nucleotides long. NCBI's taxonomy places the organism in Eukaryota, Fungi, Basidiomycota, Agaricomycetes, Polyporales, Polyporaceae. The record is from the annotation of a GenBank genome assembly.
UCCCGCUUAGCUCAGUGGUAGAGCGCAUCACUAGUACCGGUCACGUGACUGAAAGGGCUAUGAUGAGGUCAGUUGUUCGAAUCAGCUAGUGGGAA